UCUAGUGUAGAGGUGAAAUUCGUAGAUAUUAGAAAGAAUACCAAUUGCGAAGGCAGCUUUCUGGAUCAUUACUGACACUGAGGAACGAAAGCAUGGGUAGCGAAGAGGAUUAGAUACCCUCGUAGUCCAUGCCGUAAACGAUGUGUGUUAGACGUUGGAAAUUUAUUUUCAGUGUCGCAGCGAAAGCAAUAAACACACCGCCUGGGGAGUACGACCGCAAGGUUAAAACUCAAAUGAAUUGACGGGGACCCGCACAAGUAGUGGAGCAUGUGGUUUAAUUCGAAGAUACGCGCAGAACCUUACCAACACUUGACAUGUUCGUCGCGACUUUAAGAGAUUAAAGUUUUCGGUUCGGCCGGACGAAACACAGGUGCUGCAUGGCUGUCGUCAGCUCGUGUCGUGAGAUGUUGGGUUAAGUCCCGCAACGAGCGCAACCCUCACUUUUAGUUGCCAUCAUUUAGUUGGGCACUCUGAAAGAACUGCCAGUGAUAAGCUGGAGGAAGGUGGGGAUGACGUCAAGUCCUCAUGGCCCUUACGUGUUGGGCUACACACGUGCUACAAUGGUAUCUACAACAGGAAGCAAAACGGCGACGUUAAGCAAAUCCUUAAAAGAUACCUCAGUUCGGAUUGCACUCUGCAACUCGAGUGCAUGAAGCUGGAAUUACUAGUAAUCGUGGAUCAGCGUGCCACGGUGAAUGCGUUCCCGGGUCUUGUACACACCGCCCGUCACACCAUGGGAGUUGGUUCUACCUUAAGGCAAGGUUUUAAACCCUUGACCACGGUAUAGUCAGCGACUGGGGUGAAGUCGUAACAAGGUAGCCGUAGGGGAACCUGCGGCUG
Molecule: ribosomal RNA, 840 nt
Filed under: marine metagenome
Description: bacterial SSU rRNA
Rfam family: Bacterial small subunit ribosomal RNA
Source: RNAcentral